This 706-nucleotide ribosomal RNA is filed under the name uncultured bacterium. RNAcentral's name for it is "bacterial SSU rRNA". It matches the Rfam family "Bacterial small subunit ribosomal RNA", at positions 803 to 1515 of the family's 1533-position model. The record is from RNAcentral.
UAAACGAUGAAUGUUAGUCGUCGGGUAGCUAGUCUAUUCGGUGAUGCAGCUAACGCAUUAAACAUUCCGCCUGGGGAGUACGGUCGCAAGAUUAAAACUCAAAGGAAUAGACGGGGACCCGCACAAGUGGUGGAGCAUGUGGUUUAAUUCGAAGAUACGCGAAGAACCUUACCUAGCCUUGACAUAUAUUAGAACUCACCAGAGAUGGAGAGGUGCCUUCGGGAGCUUUUAUACAGGUGCUGCACGGCUGUCGUCAGCUCGUGUCGUGAGAUGUUGGGUUAAGUCCCGCAACGAGCGCAACCCUCGUCACUAGUUACUAACGGUUCGGCCGAGGACUCUAGUGAGACUGCCUUCGUAAGGAGGAGGAAGGUGAGGACGACGUCAAGUCAUCAUGGCCCUUACGGCUAGGGCAACACACGUGCUACAAUGGCCAGGACAGUGAGACGCGAUACCGUGAGGUGGAGCAAAUCUAUAAACCUGGUCUCAGUUCGGAUUGUAGUCUGCAACUCGACUACAUGAAGCUGGAAUCACUAGUAAUCGUAGAUCAGCUAUGCUACGGUGAAUACGUUCCCGGGUCUUGUACUCACCGCCCGUCACACCAUGGGAGUUGAUUUCACCCGAAGCGGGGAAGCUAAACUGGCUACCCUCCACGGUGGAAUUAGCGACUGGGGUGAAGUCGUAACAAGGUAACCAAGGGCGAAUUCGC